GACGAACGCUGGCGGCGUGCUUAACACAUGCAAGUCGAGCGAGGCCCACCUUUCGGGGUGGUGUCCUAGCGGCGAACGGGUGAGUAACACGUGGGCAACCUGCCCUCAGCUCUGGGAUAACUCCAAGAAAUUGGGGCUAAUACCGGAUAUGACUGCUGACCGCAUGGUCUGGUGGUGGAAAGAUUUAUCGGCUGGGGAUGGGCCCGCGGCCUAUCAGCUUGUUGGUGGGGUAGUGGCCUACCAAGGCGACGACGGGUAGCCGGCCUGAGAGGGUGACCGGCCACACUGGGACUGAGACACGGCCCAGACUCCUACGGGAGGC
RNAcentral lists this ribosomal RNA (322 nucleotides) under uncultured bacterium. Its description in RNAcentral is "bacterial SSU rRNA". It matches the Rfam family "Bacterial small subunit ribosomal RNA", at positions 28 to 349 of the family's 1533-position model. The record is from RNAcentral.